CUUGGUCAUUUAGAGGAAGUAAAAGUCGUAACAAGGUUUCCGUAGGUGAACCUGCGGAAGGAUCAUUAUUGAAACUUCUUUGGAAAUAGUACUGUUGCUGGCCUUGUAAUGAGGUAUGUGCACGUCUAUUACCAAUCUAUUCAUCCACCUGUGCACUUUUUGUAGGAGUUCAUUUGAGGCUAUUUUGUACUUGUGCAAUUUGGCUUUGAAAGGCUUCUAUGUUCUUAUAAACCCAUUAGUAUGUCUCUGAAUGUUUUUUAUUGGGACUUGAUUGGCCCUUUAAACUUGUACAACUUUUAGCAACGGAUCUCUUGGCUCUCCCAUCGAUGAAGAACGCAGCGAAAUGCGAUAAGUAAUGUGAAUUGCAGAAUUCAGUGAAUCAUCGAAUCUUUGAACGCACCUUGCGCCCUCUGGUAUUCCGGAGGGCAUGCCUGUUUGAGUGUCAUUAAAUUCUCAACUUCAAUAGCUUUUACUAGCUUAUUGAUGCUUGGAUGUGGGAGCUUGCUGGCGUCUUAGAUGUUCGGCUCUCCUUAAAGUUAUUAGUGGAAACCUUUUUGUUGGGUUAUUCCUGGUGUGAUAAUUAUCUACGCUUUGAAUAAUCUAAUGUUCCAUUGGGACUUGAGAUUUCUCAGUAGAAAUACUGGUCUGGGUAUUGCAAUUAAUUUUGCUGUAUCUGUAAUCUCUCAGUAGCAAUACUGGUUUUGGCAUUGCAAUUAAGUUUGCUUUACCUGUAGUCUCAGAGGAAAAAGGGAAGUUCUGCUUUCUAACCGUCUAUGUAUAUGGACAAUUUAUUGACUAUUUGACCUCAAAUCAGGUAGGACUACCCGCUGAACUUAAGCAUAUCAAUAAGCGGAGGAAAAGAAACUAACAAGGAUUCCCCUAGUAACUGCGAGUGAAGAGGGAAAAGCUCAAAUUUAAAAUCUGACAGUCUUUGAUUGUCCGAGUUGUAAUUUAGAGAAGUGUUACCCGUGUUGGACCGUGUACAAGUUUCCUGGAAUGGAACGUCAUAGAGGGUGAGAAUCCCGUCUUUGACACGGAUCCCAAUGCAUUGUGGUAUACUUUCGAAGAGUCGAGUUGUUUGGGAAUGCAGCUCUAAAUGGGUGGUAAAUUCCAUCUAAAGCUAAAUAUUGGGGAGAGACCGAUAGCGAACAAGUACCGUGAGGGAAAGAUGAAAAGAACUUUGGAAAGAGAGUUAAACAGUACGUGAAAUUGCUAAAAGGGAAACGCUUGAAGU
Molecule: ribosomal RNA, 1234 nt
Filed under: uncultured Basidiomycota
Lineage: Eukaryota; Fungi; Basidiomycota
Description: eukaryotic LSU rRNA
Rfam family: Eukaryotic large subunit ribosomal RNA (bases 801-1234)
Source: RNAcentral